AUUGAACGCUGGCGGCAGGCCUAACACAUGCAAGUCGAGCGGAUGAAGGGGGCUUGCUCCUGGAUUCAGCGGCGGACGGGUGAGUAAUGCCUAGGAAUCUGCCUGGUAGUGGGGGAUAACGUCCGGAAACGGGCGCUAAUACCGCAUACGUCCUGAGGGAGAAAGUGGGGGAUCUUCGGACCUCACGCUAUCAGAUGAGCCUAGGUCGGAUUAGCUAGUUGGUGGGGUAAAGGCCUACCAAGGCGACGAUCCGUAACUGGUCUGAGAGGAUGAUCAGUCACACUGGAACUGAGACACGGUCCAGACUCCUACGGGAGGCAGCAGUGGGGAAUAUUGGACAAUGGGCGAAAGCCUGAUCCAGCCAUGCCGCGUGUGUGAAGAAGGUCUUCGGAUUGUAAAGCACUUUAAGUUGGGAGGAAGGGCAGUAAGUUAAUACCUUGCUGUUUUGACGUUACCAACAGAAUAAGCACCGGCUAACUUCGUGCCAGCAGCCGCGGUAAUACGAAGGGUGCAAGCGUUAAUCGGAAUUACUGGGCGUAAAGCGCGCGUAGGUGGUUCAGCAAGUUGGAUGUGAAAUCCCCGGGCUCAACCUGGGAACUGCAUCCAAAACUACUGAGCUAGAGUACGGUAGAGGGUGGUGGAAUUUCCUGUGUAGCGGUGAAAUGCGUAGAUAUAGGAAGGAACACCAGUGGCGAAGGCGACCACCUGGACUGAUACUGACACUGAGGUGCGAAAGCGUGGGGAGCAAACAGGAUUAGAUACCCUGGUAGUCCACGCCGUAAACGAUGUCGACUAGCCGUUGGGAUCCUUGAGAUCUUAGUGGCGCAGCUAACGCGAUAAGCCGACCGCCUGGGGAGUACGGCCGCAAGGUUA
This 873-nucleotide ribosomal RNA is filed under the name uncultured Pseudomonadales bacterium. Its description in RNAcentral is "bacterial SSU rRNA". It matches the Rfam family "Bacterial small subunit ribosomal RNA", at positions 28 to 896 of the family's 1533-position model. The record is from RNAcentral. Lineage: Bacteria; Pseudomonadati; Pseudomonadota; Gammaproteobacteria; Pseudomonadales.